AUCGAACGCUGGCGGCGUGUUUAAUACAUGCAAGUCGAACGGGGCUUGCGGGGGCUUGCUCCCGCAAGUUUAGUGGCGGACGGGUGAGUAACACGUGAGCAACCUGCCCUUCGGAGGGGGACAACAGUGGGAAACUACUGCUAAUACCGCAUAAAGUGCGACGGCGGCAUCGCCGAUGCACCAAAGAUUUAUCGCCGAAGGAUGGGCUCGCGUCUGAUUAGCUAGUUGGUGGUGUAAUGGACCACCAAGGCGACGAUCAGUAGCCGGACUGAGAGGUUGGCCGGCCACAUUGGGACUGAGAUACGGCCCAGACUCCUACGGGAGGCAGCAGUAGAGAAUAUUGGGCAAUGGGGGCAACCCUGACCCAGCAACGCCGCGUGAAGGAAGAAGGCUUUCGAGUUGUAAACUUCUUUGACGAGGGACGAAACAAAUGACGGUACCUCGAAAACAAGCCACGGCUAACUACGUGCCAGCAGCCGCGGUAAUACGUAGGUGGCAAGCGUUGAUCGGAUUUACUGGGUGUAAAGGGCGCGUAGGCGGGUAUGCAAGUCAGAUGUGCAAUCUAUGGGCUUAACCCAUAAACUGCAUUUGAAACUGUUUACCUUGAGUGAUGGAGGAACACCAGUGGCGAAGGCGGCCUGCUGGACAUUAACUGACGCUGAGGCGCGAAAGCGUGGGGAGCAAACAGGAUUAGAUACCCUGGUAGUCCACGCUGUAAACGAUGAAUACUAGGUGUGGGGGGACUGACCCCCUCCGUGCCGGAGUUAACACAAUAAGUAUUCCACCUGGGGAGUACGGCCGCAAGGCUGAAACUCAAAGGAAUUGACGGGGCCCCGCACAAGCAGUGGAUUAUGUGGUUUAAUUCGAUGCUACACGAAGAACCUUACCAGGGCUUGACAUGGAGAUGACCGCCGUAGAGAUACGGUUUCCCCUUCGGGGGCAUCUCACACAGGUGGUGCAUGGUUGUCGUCAGCUCGUGUCGUGAGAUGUUGGGUUAAGUCCCGCAACGAGCGCAACCCCUGUUGCUAGUUGCUACGAGAGAGCACUCUAGCGAGACUGCCGUUGACAAAACGGAGGAAGGAGGGGACGAUGUCAAAUCAUCAUGCCCUUUAUGUCCUGGGCUACACACGUAAUACAAUGGCGUUUAACAAUGGGAAGCGAAGCCGCGAGGCGGAGCAAAUCCCCAAAAGGCGCCUCAGUUCGGAUCGCAGGCUGCAACCCGCCUGCGUGAAGUCGGAAUUGCUAGUAAUCGCGGAUCAGCUAGCCGCGGUGAAUACGUUCCCGGGGUUUGUACACACCGCCCGUCACACCAUGAGAGCCGGGGACACCCGAAGCCCGUAGCCUAACCUUUUUAUAUUGGAGGGCGCGGUCGAAGGUGGAUUUGGUAAUUGGGGUG
Molecule: ribosomal RNA, 1396 nt
Filed under: uncultured Bacillota bacterium
Lineage: Bacteria; Bacillati; Bacillota
Description: bacterial SSU rRNA
Rfam family: Bacterial small subunit ribosomal RNA
Source: RNAcentral